This is a non-coding RNA of Podarcis lilfordi (Lilford's wall lizard), 71 nucleotides long. The record is from the annotation of a GenBank genome assembly. Lineage: Eukaryota; Metazoa; Chordata; Lepidosauria; Squamata; Lacertidae.
GCCUGGAAUAGCUCAGUCAGUAGAGCAGGAGAUUCUUAAUCUCAUGGUUGUGGGCUUGAGCCCGUUGGGCA